UAGCCAUGCAUGUCUAAGUAUAAAUAACUACACAGUAAAACUGCGAAUGGCUCAUUAAAACAGUUAUAGUUUAUUUGAUAAAUUAAAUGGAUAACUGUAGGAAACUAGAGCUAAUACAUGCCAAGGUCGUAAGACUGCAUUUAUUAGAUAUACCAAGUCGGUGAAUCAUAAUAACUUUGCAAAUCGAAACAACGUUUCGAUAAAUCAUUCAAGUUUCUGACCUAUCAUGCUGGAUGGUAGUGUAUUGGACUACCAAGGCAGUCACGGGUAACGGAGAAUUAGGGUUCGAUUCCGGAGAAGGAGCCUGAGAAACGGCUACUACAUCUAAGGAAGGCAGCAGGCGCGUAAAUUACCCAAUCCUAAAUCAGGGAGGUAGUGACAAGAUAUAAUAACGCGAAUAAAUUUCGCGAUUGUAGUGAGGGUAUUCUAAAAAUAGCUUCGAGUACGAUUGGAGGGCAAGUCUGGUGCCAGCAGCCGCGGUAAUUCCAGCUCCAAUAGCGUAUAUUAAAGUUGUUGCAGUUAAAAAGCUCGUAGUUGGAUUUCAAGAAACGCAUCUGAGCAAUCAGUUUGCUUUCUACCAGUCUUUGACUGUUACUGUGAGAAAAUUAGAGUGUUUCAAGCAGGCUAUUGCAGGAAUACAUUAGCAUGGAAUAACGAAUGUGUCUACAAUUUGGUUGAUUGUAGGUUACGAUUAAUAGGGACAGUUGGGGGCAUUAGUAUUUAAUUGUCAGAGGUGAAAUUCUUGGAUUUGUUAAAGACUAACGUAUGCGAAAGCAUUUGCCAAGGAUGUUUUCAUUAAUCAAGAACGAAAGAUAGGGGAUCAAAGACGAUCAGAUACCGUC
Molecule: ribosomal RNA, 842 nt
Filed under: uncultured alveolate
Lineage: Eukaryota
Description: SSU rRNA
Rfam family: Eukaryotic small subunit ribosomal RNA
Source: RNAcentral